AUCCAACUGACGAAUCUCGAAUAAGACGAAACGCGCAUCCUGGAU
RNAcentral lists this non-coding RNA (45 nucleotides) under Schistosoma mattheei. The record is from RNAcentral. Lineage: Eukaryota; Metazoa; Platyhelminthes; Trematoda; Strigeidida; Schistosomatidae.